CCUACGGGAGGCAGCAGUGGGGAAUAUUGGACAAUGGGGGGAACCCUGAUCCAGCCAUGCCGCGUGUGUGAAGAAGGCCCUCGGGUUGUAAAGCACUUUCAGUGAGGAAGAACGCCUGGUGGUUAAUACCCAUCAGGAAAGACAUCACUCACAGAAGAAGCACCGGCUAACUCCGUGCCAGCAGCCGCGGUAAUACGGAGGUUGCGAGCGUUAAUCGGAAUUACUGGGCGUAAAGCGCGCGUAGGUGGCUUGAUAAGCCGGUUGUGAAAGCCCCGGGCUCAACCUGGGAACGGCAUCCGGAACUGUCAAGCUAGAGUGCAGGAGAGGAAGGUAGAAUUCCCGGUGUAGCGGUGAAAUGCGUAGAGAUCGGGAGGAAUACCAGUGGCGAAGGCGGCCUUCUGGACUGACACUGACACUGAGGUGCGAAAGCGUGGGUAGCAAACAGGAUUAGAUACCCUUGUAGUC
RNAcentral lists this ribosomal RNA (465 nucleotides) under Vreelandella stevensii. Its description in RNAcentral is "partial 16S ribosomal RNA". It matches the Rfam family "Bacterial small subunit ribosomal RNA", at positions 338 to 795 of the family's 1533-position model. The record is from RNAcentral. Lineage: Bacteria; Pseudomonadati; Pseudomonadota; Gammaproteobacteria; Oceanospirillales; Halomonadaceae.